This 253-nucleotide ribosomal RNA is filed under the name uncultured bacterium. Its description in RNAcentral is "partial 16S ribosomal RNA". It matches the Rfam family "Bacterial small subunit ribosomal RNA", at positions 524 to 776 of the family's 1533-position model. The record is from RNAcentral.
UACGGGGGAUGCAAGCGUUAUCCGGAAUUAUUGGGCGUAAAGCGUCCGCAGGUGGUUUAUCAAGUCUGCUGUCAAAGCGUGGGGCUUAACUCCAUAAGGGCAGUGGAAACUGAGAGACUAGAGUACGGUAGGGGUAGCGGGAAUUCCCAGUGUAGCGGUGAAAUGCGUAGAUAUUGGGAAGAACACCAGCGGCGAAGGCGCGCUACUGGGCCGAAACUGACACUCAUGGACGAAAGCUAGGGGAGCGAAAGGG